This is a non-coding RNA of Ostrea edulis (European flat oyster), 73 nucleotides long. NCBI's taxonomy places the organism in Eukaryota, Metazoa, Mollusca, Bivalvia, Ostreida, Ostreidae. The record is from the annotation of a RefSeq genome assembly.
GGCCAGAUAGUUCAGUUGGUAGAGCACUUGACUGGAGAUUUAGAGGGCCCAGGUUUGAAUCCUGGUCUUGUCU